CAUCACGCUUAACCUACGUACAAGCAAACAUAAGGACGGUCAGCAAAAAACCAAUGCAAGGCUGGCAUCCGUAAAAGUUAAAGCAGCUCCUCCUACAGCUCGGCAAAUCACAACGGAAAAUAGGUUUGCUAUGCUACAGAACGAGGAGGCUUAGACCAGCUGCCCUAGUUAGCUUUACUAUAUAAAUGCUAUAACAUUGUAAUAAGAAACCUCAAGAGAGUUCAAUAAGAAAAGAAAGUUACCUCUUCAUCGUUGUUUAGCCUCUGCUUUCAUGUACGACCUUUCAUCCAACACUUCCAUGACCUCGUCCAUCCGCCCCCUUUCUCUAGUUCCUACCACUGGCUUGACCCUCUCCAGUGAGUUUCUAAGCUACCAUCAUAUUAGUUAUUAGUUCUGAGUUUGUUUCCACGUAACAUUUUUUAUUAUACAAUUUGAUUGGUGGGAUCAUAAAUAUAACUUAGAGCAUCUUUAUUGGUAAAUAAUUUACCAAAGUAUUCAGUAAUAGUUUAUUAGUUAGUAUUGCUUAAUAAUGUAAUUAAAUUUUAAAUAUAAAAAGAACUGACCAUUUAUAUUUUGACUAGGGCUGGGCAAAAACCCCGAACCCGAAAACUAAACCUAAU
RNAcentral lists this long non-coding RNA (620 nucleotides) under Brassica napus (rape). Its description in RNAcentral is "long non-coding RNA (BNAP_LNC009877)". The record is from RNAcentral. Lineage: Eukaryota; Viridiplantae; Streptophyta; Magnoliopsida; Brassicales; Brassicaceae.